GACGAACGCUGGCGGCAUGCCUAAUACAUGCAAGUCGAGCGGAGUUAUGAUGGAGCUUGCUCCUGAUUAACUUAGCGGCGGACGGGUGAGUAACACGUAGGCAACCUGCCCUCAAGACUGGGAUAACUACCGGAAACGGUAGCUAAUACCGGAUAAUUUCUUUCCUCUCCUGAAGAGAGAAUGAAAGGCGGAGCAAUCUGCUGCUUGGGAAUGGGCCUGCGGCGCAUUAGCUAGUUGGUGGGGUAAUGGCUCACCAAGGCGACGAUGCGUAGCCGACCUGAGAGGGUGAACGGCCACACUGGGACUGAGAUACGGCCCUU
This 320-nucleotide ribosomal RNA is filed under the name uncultured bacterium. Its description in RNAcentral is "bacterial SSU rRNA". It matches the Rfam family "Bacterial small subunit ribosomal RNA", at positions 28 to 334 of the family's 1533-position model. The record is from RNAcentral.